UGGGGAAUAUUGGACAAUGGGCGCAAGCCUGAUCCAGCAAUGCCGCGUGUGUGAAGAAGGCCUUCGGGUUGUAAAGCACUUUUAUCAGGAGCGAAAUCUGCAGGGCUAAUGCCCAUGCAGUCUGACGGUACCUGCGGAAUAAGCACCGGCUAACUCCGUGCCAGCAGCCGCGGUAAGGCGGAGGGUGCAAGCGGUAAUCGGAAUUACUGGGCGUAAAGGGUGCGUAGGCGGUUCGUUAAGUCUGUCGUGAAAUCCCCGGGCUCAACCUGGGAAUGGCGAUGGAUACUGGCGAGCUAGAGUGUGUCAGAGGAUGGUGGAAUUCCCGGUGUAGCGGUGAAAUGCGUAGAGAUCGGGAGGAACAUCAGUGGCGAAGGCGGCCAUCUGGGACAACACUGACGCUGAAGCACGAAAGCGUGGGGAGCAAAC
Molecule: ribosomal RNA, 426 nt
Filed under: uncultured bacterium
Lineage: Bacteria
Description: bacterial SSU rRNA
Rfam family: Bacterial small subunit ribosomal RNA
Source: RNAcentral